CUUGUCUCCAGUUAAAGACGGCGAAGGUCACCUGAGUGACCAACAAACGUAUCACGAUCGGAUACGACGACUGGCAUCGGGCUGUACCAACAGUGGAGUAGCAUAGCGCAUUGGCCCCUGACAUUGGUCACGUCGAUCGGACCUAUUGCUCUAUGUAAUGGAAGUCUUGGAAAGCGAUGCCAGAUGAGGUGACGACGAUGGUGCAUGAUUAUUUGUCGGUACAAGCAAUGGAAAAGCGACCUGCACCAAUAUUUUCAAACAUUUGAUGAUCCGCAAAUCGCUCUUGAGGAGGGUGCCCGAAGAAGUUUGAGGACCAAGAAGAAAAUUGGGUGUGCCUCUGCAAUCAUUUUCAGGAGCCCGACUAUGUGAAGAAGAUGAAAGCCAACAAGAUCAAUCAGGAGAAGAAGACUCUUCUCCACCAUUCAGGUUCAAGGACUUUCUCAUAUAGAAUAGAGGCGCAACGACAGG
Long non-coding RNA from Pyrus x bretschneideri (Chinese white pear), 468 nucleotides. RefSeq lists it as uncharacterized. The transcript has 3 exons. The record is from RefSeq and is a predicted model, not a curated record. Lineage: Eukaryota; Viridiplantae; Streptophyta; Magnoliopsida; Rosales; Rosaceae.